Long non-coding RNA from Xyrauchen texanus (razorback sucker), 1870 nucleotides. RefSeq lists it as uncharacterized. The transcript is spliced from 9 exons. NCBI's taxonomy places the organism in Eukaryota, Metazoa, Chordata, Actinopteri, Cypriniformes, Catostomidae. The record is from RefSeq and is a predicted model, not a curated record.
UAAUAAGAAGAUGAUUCGUAUUUACGCUUUGUUGUUGUUGUUAUAAAGGUACGUUAACGUGCGAGAGAGGUCUGAGUGAAUCCCGAGACUGCACAUCGUAAAAUAUAACAUAACACUUUUUAAAAAUCUGCCGCCAUGGCGUUAAAAUGGUAGGCGAAGACACAAUUCUGUAAGCAAACGCGUUUUAUUUUUAAAUAUUAAUAUAGUUGUAUGUGUGCAACAUGACAGGUUAGAAAACAGAGCUCAUAACACUUUGAUAAAGUUAUAACUUUUAAAGGAAUAGGCCUAUUUCAGCUUGCUCUGGACAAGUUGUGUCUAUACUGUUAUAAUAGUCAUCAGGGAUGAUGCUCCUGUCACAAUCCUGUUGAUGUGUUUGACAAAUUCACUUUUGCACUCACCAUUAAGGAACAGUAUGCUUUUUUACAAAGCCCUGAUGUAAACAGUGAGGAGACAAGUGAGAAAAGGCCAGAUGGACCCUCAUCAGAACCAAAGACUGUCAAGAGUGAGAAAGCAGAUUCAGAGCUCAGCCAUGAAUCAGUUGAGCCCAUAUCUAAGAGCAAACCAUCUCAAACUGAUGUUAAACCCAACCCUGUGAAGACUAAUACGACACAUCAGAAUAUGCUGGAGCGUUUGAAGAAUGAGGUGGGACAAUUUAUGAAGUACGUUCAUGAUGUUUCUAGAGCAUGUGCUGAUGGGUACAACUAUAUGCCCUCGGGUGGCACUCGCUACUCUGAGGAAUAUUUCACAGAAAUUACUGGCUUGGCUGGAGGAAAUGCAAUGUAGUUAUAUAUGCACUUCUUGCAAUGGGUAAAAUAGACAUAAUAGAGAAAACAACUGAUGGCUGAAAACACCAAGCUUGCUGUUGACUAUGAGAUAGUUUCAUCUGUUAUUCCACCAGCUAAUAACUUCCACCAGCUAGCUGUUUAUACGCUUUAAGUAUCUGUGACUAUGUGAUUGUUUAUUAUGCAGUCUAGCAUUCUGUUAAAUCAAUCCUGCAACUAAAGCUAUGAAUACAUUGAACCACUAGAGAGCACUGUCACACUCAGUUUGAAUUACUGUUAAUACUCCAUGACAACAGACUAGAAGAACUGAAAAUAAAUUCCAAAUUAGGUAAAGCAGAGCUCUUGAGUCUGAAUUUUGAGCUUUCUUAUUUGUUUCCAGGCUAUUAGCACUGACUGUAAUGCAGACAAUCUCAGUGCUAUAUACGAGCCACAUGUGUGUUUAUCCAGAGAGGCCUUUCUCCAGCUCAUAAACAAUGACUCAGAGUUCAGUGAAGCAUGUUCAGCUGCCUGUUUGUGUCAAAAUGAAUCCUACCAGAGGCAACAGUCAGAGUAAGACUGAAAUUGAUCCUCUUCUGCUGAAGCCAGAGAUGAUCUGGAUAAAGAGAAGUCUGCUGUUUCAUGAAGAGAGUGUGAAACUGGCACUCAAGAGGACAGUCUCUCGCCCAGUAUUUUUUCUCACUACAGAUGACCUCUCUAAUGAAAUUGACCCACCACCUGAGGUCUUCUAAAGGAGGCAAGUGCAGAAGAUUAAUUAGACUGUGAUACUCCAGCAGAGGGCAGCGUUCUGUACAAACUCUAUGUGUUCAGCAGUGUGCACACACCCACCCGAGACACAAUAGAGAAGGACCUCAGAUGAGGUGGACCCAUGAUGUUUGUCUAUGCUGCCAUUCCAGUGCAUGUCUUAACCAAGCUGGAAUAUCAGCUGUGCUACGGAGCCAAGAUUCUGACCCACACAGAGGCCUGGCUGCUGUGGGCCGAGAAAAUUCUGCACUCCUGUACUGUGUCUUUCAUAAAUGAAUAAACAGGAGUGGAGAUCAUUUUCUUCAGGGACGAACUUUGAAUGACACCAGUGUGAAAAAUGACGAGGC